This 327-nucleotide ribosomal RNA is filed under the name uncultured eukaryote. Its description in RNAcentral is "partial 18S ribosomal RNA". It matches the Rfam family "Eukaryotic small subunit ribosomal RNA", at positions 1470 to 1796 of the family's 1831-position model. The record is from RNAcentral.
CCCUUAGAUGUUCUGGGCUGCACGCGCGCUACACUGAUGCGCUCAACGAGUUUUAACCUUGCCUGGAAAGGUUGGGUAAUCUUUUUAAAACGCAUCGUGAUGGGGAUAGAUUAUUGCAAUUAUUAAUCUUCAACGAGGAAUACCUUGUAAGCGCGGGUCAUCAUCCCGCGCUGAAUACGUCCCUGCCCUUUGUACACACCGCCCGUCGCUCCUACCGAUUGAGUGGUCCGGUGAGGCUUUGGGAUCUGAGCGGAAAGAGCGUUUCGCUGUUUCUGCUCGGAAAACUCAGUCGAACCUUAUCAUUUAGAGGAAGGAGAAGUCGUAACA